GUGGGGAAUCUUGCGCAAUGGGCGAAAGCCUGACGCAGCCAUGCCGCGUGAAUGAUGAAGGUCUUAGGAUUGUAAAAUUCUUUCACCGGGGACGAUAAUGACGGUACCCGGAGAAGAAGCUCCGGCUAACUUCGUGCCAGCAGCCGCGGUAAUACGAAGGGGGCUAGCGUUGCUCGGAAUUACUGGGCGUAAAGGGCGCGUAGGCGGACAGCUUAGUCAGAGGUGAAAGCCCAGGGCUCAACCUUGGAAUUGCCUUUGAUACUGGCUGUCUUGAGUUUGAGAGAGGUGAGUGGAACUCCGAGUGUAGAGGUGAAAUUCGUAGAUAUUCGGAAGAACACCAGUGGCGAAGGCGACUCACUGGCCCAAUACUGACGCUGAGGCGCGAAAGCGUGGGGAGCAAACAGGAUUAGAAACCCGGGUAGUCC
RNAcentral lists this ribosomal RNA (425 nucleotides) under uncultured bacterium. Its description in RNAcentral is "partial 16S ribosomal RNA". It matches the Rfam family "Bacterial small subunit ribosomal RNA", at positions 354 to 796 of the family's 1533-position model. The record is from RNAcentral.